UACAGAGGUCUCAAGCGUUGUUCGGAUUCAUUGGGCGUAAAGGGCGCGUAGGCGGCGGGGUAAGUCGGGUGUGAAAUCUCAGAGCUCAACUCUGAAAUGGCACUUGAUACUGCUCUGCUAGAGGACUGGAGAGGAGAUUGGAAUUCCUGGUGGAGCGGUGAAAUGCGCAGAUAUCAGGAGGAACACCCGUAGCGAAGGCGGCACUCUGGGCCGAUACUGACACUGAGGAGCGAAAGCGUGGGGAGCGAACAGG
RNAcentral lists this ribosomal RNA (253 nucleotides) under uncultured bacterium. RNAcentral's name for it is "partial 16S ribosomal RNA". It matches the Rfam family "Bacterial small subunit ribosomal RNA", at positions 524 to 776 of the family's 1533-position model. The record is from RNAcentral.